CAUUUCCUAGCGUCUCUCCCGUGCCUCCUCGGUGGGAGGGACUAAGAUGCGAGGAAGGGAGGCAAGUGGAGAAGUCAAUUUGAGGGACACUGAGAGGA
Etheostoma spectabile (orangethroat darter) is the source of this 98-nucleotide long non-coding RNA. RefSeq lists it as uncharacterized. NCBI's taxonomy places the organism in Eukaryota, Metazoa, Chordata, Actinopteri, Perciformes, Percidae. The record is from RefSeq and is a predicted model, not a curated record. The transcript has 3 exons.